UAACUUCAGAGUGAGAUUACUGGGCUUUGUUAUGACUUUGCUAAUUCAACCCCUUUGAGGAGAUGAGCCAUGCUAUUCUUUUCAUUGCAACUUGUCUAUUGGUUACUUUGGACAUGACUGUAUGAGGAUGAACUAGAUUUUGAAAAUCCAGGGAACAGCUUGUGAGCAACUUAGUAUUCAAGACUUUUGGUAAUAAGUUCAAGCAUUUACAACAUACCUUAUGUGGCCAAGCAAAGUUCCAGAUACCGUGAUGUGUAUGGAAAGAAACAAGACCUUUUCUGCUUUAAACAAGAUAAUUUCAGAGAGAACCUUAAAUUACAGGACAAUGGACUUAAUGUCAAAUGCCCACAAUGGCACUAGGAAGGCCGGAGCUCGCCUGUGUAUAGACUGCUCUGUUCUGCCCACAGCACUGAAUGGAAACUCCGGCUGACUGCCCCGUGCCGCCUCUCUCCAUUUCUGCUUGGUGUCUGUAAGCUCGGAUUUGAUGAUGCUACAUUUUGUUUUCUUUCAACUGAGCUACCCCAGCAGUCUCUGCCGGAUGUUGUGCAUGCCUGAUCUGAUGAUGCUUUGCUAUUCACCAUUGAUUCUCUCUGUCUGAUAUCUAUUCUUUUCCUUUCCUUGCUAAAGACUUAAUAAACCCAGUCAUUCGAAACUGAAA
Peromyscus eremicus (cactus mouse) is the source of this 658-nucleotide long non-coding RNA. RefSeq lists it as uncharacterized. The transcript is spliced from 2 exons. The record is from RefSeq and is a predicted model, not a curated record. NCBI's taxonomy places the organism in Eukaryota, Metazoa, Chordata, Mammalia, Rodentia, Cricetidae.